UAACAACUUUAAGCUUAUACAUUAACUUUACUUAACAACUUAAUUAUUGAUGAAUUGGUUUAGAGAUUUUUAUAGCAAUGCAAGAUUGAGCUUAGUAGAAGACUAAAUUUCUGCUCUGGAGACAAAAAGAGGAAGACAGCAAUCUUAGUGUAGAUGAUUCUUCAAAUUAUUUUAGUGACGAUUCAUCUUCAGUUUCAUAUAAUAAAACUAAAAAUAUUAUUAAACUUUGGGAUUUACCUGUAACUCCAAACUCUUUGCAGAAGUUCAAUGUUUACUUUGAGAAGUUGAAUGAACACAAUUUAAUAAACGAUAGUCAUGGAAAAAUCUGGGAAUUCUGAUUGUGUAAUCUGUAUCUGAAACGUUAACAAGAAUUGUUUUGUGACAGUGCCAGAAAGUGAAUGCACACCAGGAGAUUCAAUAAAUCAUAAAAAUAUUAUGAAUCCAUUAGCAAGAAAAGUUGUAUCUCCUAAAGAUAUGCAGUUAAUAUUGGCACGAUGGGUAAGCAUUGAAGUGCAACUUGGUGAACUACAAAACACAUCAAAUUUAAUUAUAUAAAAAUUUGAGUAACAAAGAUAUGUUAAUUAAUGAUUUGCCUGAAAGAGUAUCACUUUACCAUUAAGAGCAGUGGAGAAUUUAAGUACUCUAAAAGAAAAAAGACAAAAAAAUACUUAAGCAAAUAGUAAAUAUUUUUUUAUG
Molecule: long non-coding RNA, 696 nt
Organism: Hydra vulgaris (swiftwater hydra)
Lineage: Eukaryota; Metazoa; Cnidaria; Hydrozoa; Anthoathecata; Hydridae
Source: RefSeq, a predicted model, not a curated record